RNAcentral lists this non-coding RNA (114 nucleotides) under bovine gut metagenome. RNAcentral's name for it is "FMN riboswitch (RFN element)". It matches the Rfam family "FMN riboswitch aptamer (RFN element)". Rfam says of the family: The RFN element is a highly conserved domain that is found frequently in the 5'-untranslated regions of prokaryotic mRNAs that encode for flavin mononucleotide (FMN) biosynthesis and transport proteins. This element is a metabolite-dependent riboswitch that directly binds FMN in the absence of proteins. The record is from RNAcentral.
CUUCUUCGGGGAUGGGUGCAAUUCCCUACCGGCGGUACAGCCCGCGAACUGAACCAUGGUUCAGCCGACUCGGUGAGAUUCCGGGGCCGACAGUAUAGUCUGGAUGAGAGAAGA